UUAACAGUACGUCAUUCCAGCAGAAUAAACGUGAUAAGAGAAGGUCAUAUAAUAAAAGGUCUUGGGGACGAAAGAACAAACGAGGCCAUCAUAACAACAAAUUUCAGAACUGUGACAAUUCAAGCCACCAGAAGUGGCAAGUGUCUGGGUCGGGUAAAAAUAAAGAAAAUGCAACACAGACAAAGAACAAACCAGAUGUUUAUUUUAG
This 208-nucleotide long non-coding RNA is filed under the name Panax ginseng (ginseng). RNAcentral's name for it is "long non-coding RNA (PGIN_LNC013894)". The record is from RNAcentral. Lineage: Eukaryota; Viridiplantae; Streptophyta; Magnoliopsida; Apiales; Araliaceae.